CAGACAGAAGCCCGCUGGAUUGGGUGUUUAACUGUUAAUUAAUUUUUGUGGGAUCGAGGCCCGCCUGUCUAG
This 72-nucleotide transfer RNA is filed under the name Sceloporus zosteromus. Its description in RNAcentral is "tRNA-Asx". It matches the Rfam family "tRNA". From Rfam's summary of the family: Transfer RNA (tRNA) molecules are approximately 80 nucleotides in length. Their secondary structure includes four short double-helical elements and three loops (D, anti-codon, and T loops). Further hydrogen bonds mediate the characteristic L-shaped molecular structure. tRNAs have two regions of fundamental functional importance: the anti-codon, which is responsible for specific mRNA codon recognition, and the 3' end, to which the tRNAs corresponding amino acid is attached (by aminoacyl-tRNA synthetases). tRNAs cope with the degeneracy of the genetic code in two manners: having more than one tRNA (with a specific anti-codon) for a particular amino acid; and 'wobble' base-pairing, i.e. permitting non-standard base-pairing at the 3rd anti-codon position. Lineage: Eukaryota; Metazoa; Chordata; Lepidosauria; Squamata; Phrynosomatidae. The record is from RNAcentral.